RNAcentral lists this ribosomal RNA (392 nucleotides) under uncultured bacterium. Its description in RNAcentral is "bacterial SSU rRNA". It matches the Rfam family "Bacterial small subunit ribosomal RNA", at positions 28 to 408 of the family's 1533-position model. The record is from RNAcentral.
GACUAACGUUGGCGGCGUGCAUAAUACAUGCAAGGUCACACGGGACGGUGGGCGAACUCAGUUCAGUGGCGAACGGGUGAGUAACACGUGGAUGAUCUACCUUCAAGAUCGGGAUAACUAGCCGAAAGGUUAGCUAAUACCGGGUAUGACCACGGCCAGUAUCGUCUGGUCGAGGUAAGAGCUGGGGACCGCAAGGCCUAGCGCUUGAAGAUGAGUCCGCGGCUGAUUAGCUAGUUGGCGGGGUAAUGGCCCACCAAGGCGACGAUCAGUAGCCGGCCUGAGAGGGUGACCGGCCACACUGGGACUGAGACACGGCCCAGACUCCUACGGGAGGCAGCAGUAGGGAAUUUUCCACAAUGGGCGAAAGCUGAUGAGCAACGCCGCGUGAGGGA